RNAcentral lists this ribosomal RNA (1340 nucleotides) under metagenome. Its description in RNAcentral is "bacterial SSU rRNA". It matches the Rfam family "Bacterial small subunit ribosomal RNA". The record is from RNAcentral.
GUUUGAUCCUGGCUCAGGAUGAACGCUGGCGGCGUGCUUAACACAUGCAAGUCGAACGAUCCUUCGGGAUAGUGGCGGACGGGUGAGUAACGCGUGGGAAUCUGCCCUCAGGAGGGGGAUAACGGCUGGAAACGGCCGCUAAUACCCCAUAUGCCGAGAGGUGAAAUGAAUUUCGCCUGAGGAUGAGCCCGCGUCUGAUUAGCUAGUUGGUGGGGUAAAGGCCUACCAAGGCAACGAUCAGUAGCUGGUCUGAGAGGAUGAUCAGCCACACUGGGACUGAGACACGGCCCAGACUCCUACGGGAGGCAGCAGUGGGGAAUUUUCCGCAAUGGGCGAAAGCCUGACGGAGCAACGCCGCGUGAGGGAUGAAGGCCUCUGGGCUGUAAACCUCUUUUCUCAAGGAAGAAGACCUGACGGUACUUGAGGAAUAAGCCACGGCUAAUUCCGUGCCAGCAGCCGCGGUAAUACGGGAGUGGCAAGCGUUAUCCGGAAUUAUUGGGCGUAAAGCGUCCGCAGGCGGCCUUGUAAGUCUGUUGUCAAAGCGUGGAGCUCAACUCCAUUUAAGCAAUGGAAACUACAAGGCUGGAGUGUGGUAGGGGCAGAGGGAAUUCCCGGUGUAGCGGUGAAAUGCGUAGAUAUCGGGAAGAACACCAGUGGCGAAGGCGCUCUGCUGGGCCAUAACUGACGCUCAUGGACGAAAGCCAGGGGAGCGAAAGGGAUUAGAUACCCCUGUAGUCCUGGCCGUAAACGAUGAACACUAGGUGUCGGGGGAAUCGACCCCCUCGGUGUCGUAGCCAACGCGUUAAGUGUUCCGCCUGGGGAGUACGCACGCAAGUGCGAAACUCAAAGGAAUUGACGGGGGCCCGCACAAGCGGUGGAGUAUGUGGUUUAAUUCGAUGCAACGCGAAGAACCUUACCAGGGUUUGACAUCCUGCGAACCCCUGAGAAAUCGGGGGGUGCCUUCGGGAGCGCAGAGACAGGUGGUGCAUGGCUGUCGUCAGCUCGUGUCGUGAGAUGUUGGGUUAAGUCCCGCAACGAGCGCAACCCACGUCUUUAGUUGCCAGCAUUCAGUUGGGCACUCUAGAGAGACCGCCGGUGAUAAACCGGAGGAAGGUGUGGAUGACGUCAAGUCAUCAUGCCCCUUACAUCCUGGGCUACACACGUACUACAAUGCUACGGGCAAAGGGCAGCAAGCUCGCGAGAGUUAGCAAAUCCCAUAAACCGUGGCUCAGUUCAGAUCGUAGGCUGCAACUCGCCUACGUGAAGGAGGAAUCGCUAGUAAUCGCAGGUCAGCAUACUGCGGUGAAUACGUUCCCGGGCCUUGUACACACCGCCCGUCU